RNAcentral lists this long non-coding RNA (629 nucleotides) under Bos taurus (domestic cattle). Its description in RNAcentral is "long non-coding RNA NONBTAT008931". The record is from RNAcentral. Lineage: Eukaryota; Metazoa; Chordata; Mammalia; Artiodactyla; Bovidae.
UAUUUCUGUUGGGAAACAUUUUUGUAUGACUGAUUCACUAAUCAACUUGGUUUGGGCUUCAUAAAAGGUAGUGCUGGGAACACUGAGUCAGUCCUUCUUUCUUACUUCCAUCCUGCACAGAGGAAGAGAAUGCAAAAAGCUAAAAUAUGCAAUUGAACACUUGAAUUGAUUUCCACUGGAGUUUUAGUCACCAAGAAAGUUCUUUAUAUUCUGCAGAAAUGCAUUUUUAUUUCUGCUCAACUGGUGAAAAAGAAGGAAAGAUACUUCAAGAUGACCUAACCUAAGAAUAAAAGUCUCUGGAAGCAAAUGGUAGUUAAACAAGAUAACGUUGGCUAAACAAAUAUUCCACUCAUCAAAAGGAACAGAUAAAGAGAAUUCCCAAGUUCUAAAUUGUGAGAACAAAUGGGCCUCUUCUACAUUCAUUUCUCACCUUUAUUCCAAUCAGGUCCAUGCCUCAGGCAAGGUCUGGGAUGGUCUCAGGACCAAAGAACGUGAGUAGGAAAGUGUGCAGCAGCCUCGUCUCCAAGUAAAAAAUCAACUGUAAUAAACUAAAGCAUGUGGCUUAGGUGCAAGAUCCUGUGCUGGCCCCCUGGGGUUGAGAGGGGAAACCUGAGUGCUAUAGCCCUUAA